UACGAAGGUGGCAAGCGUUGUUCGGAUUCACUGGGCGUACAGGGAGCGUAGGCGGUUGGGUAAGCCCUCCGUGAAAUCUCCGGGCCCAACCCGGAAAGUGCAGAGGGGACUGCUCGGCUAGAGGACGGGAGAGGAGCGCGGAAUUCCCGGUGUAGCGGUGAAAUGCGUAGAGAUCGGGAGGAAGGCCGGUGGCGAAGGCGGCACUCUGGAACGUUUCUGACGCUGAGGCUCGAAAGCGUGGGGAGCAAACAGG
Molecule: ribosomal RNA, 253 nt
Filed under: uncultured bacterium
Lineage: Bacteria
Description: partial 16S ribosomal RNA
Rfam family: Bacterial small subunit ribosomal RNA
Source: RNAcentral